UUUAUGGAGAGUUUGAUCCUGGCUCAGGAUGAACGCUGGCGGCGUGCCUAAUACAUGCAAGUCGAGCGAACGGACGAGAAGCUUGCUUCUCUGAUGUUAGCGGCGGACGGGUGAGUAACACGUGGAUAACCUACCUAUAAGACUGGGAUAACUUCGGGAAACCGGAGCUAAUACCGGAUAAUAUUUUGAACCGCAUGGUUCAAAAGUGAAAGACGGUCUUGCUGUCACUUAUAGAUGGAUCCGCGCUGCAUUAGCUAGUUGGUAAGGUAACGGCUUACCAAGGCAACGAUGCAUAGCCGACCUGAGAGGGUGAUCGGCCACACUGGAACUGAGACACGGUCCAGACUCCUACGGGAGGCAGCAGUAGGGAAUCUUCCGCAAUGGGCGAAAGCCUGACGGAGCAACGCCGCGUGAGUGAUGAAGGUCUUCGGAUCGUAAAACUCUGUUAUUAGGGAAGAACAUAUGUGUAAGUAACUGUGCACAUCUUGACGGUACCUAAUCAGAAAGCCACGGCUAACUACGUGCCAGCAGCCGCGGUAAUACGUAGGUGGCAAGCGUUAUCCGGAAUUAUUGGGCGUAAAGCGCGCGUAGGCGGUUUUUUAAGUCUGAUGUGAAAGCCCACGGCUCAACCGUGGAGGGUCAUUGGAAACUGGAAAACUUGAGUGCAGAAGAGGAAAGUGGAAUUCCAUGUGUAGCGGUGAAAUGCGCAGAGAUAUGGAGGAACACCAGUGGCGAAGGCGACUUUCUGGUCUGUAACUGACGCUGAUGUGCGAAAGCGUGGGGAUCAAACAGGAUUAGAUACCCUGGUAGUCCACGCCGUAAACGAUGAGUGCUAAGUGUUAGGGGGUUUCCGCCCCUUAGUGCUGCAGCUAACGCAUUAAGCACUCCGCCUGGGGAGUACGACCGCAAGGUUGAAACUCAAAGGAAUUGACGGGGACCCGCACAAGCGGUGGAGCAUGUGGUUUAAUUCGAAGCAACGCGAAGAACCUUACCAAAUCUUGACAUC
This 1006-nucleotide ribosomal RNA is filed under the name Staphylococcus aureus. RNAcentral describes it as "bacterial SSU rRNA". It matches the Rfam family "Bacterial small subunit ribosomal RNA", at positions 1 to 988 of the family's 1533-position model. The record is from RNAcentral. Lineage: Bacteria; Bacillati; Bacillota; Bacilli; Caryophanales; Staphylococcaceae.